AUGGGCAUUUCAUCCAAGUGGAUCAAAUCACUUGUUGGGAUAAAAAAGCAUGGAAAAGCUCAAAAUGGCGAAAGCAGCAGAGAAGUAAGUCAAAGGAGGAGCUCUGCUGCUCAGGUGCUACACAAACGGAAACAUUCCGUGGAUACUGAAGGCGCCCUUGCAGUUGCAGAACACAGAGUGCAAACUGAACCAUUGGCUAGUGACACCAAUACACAGACAAUUUCAUCUGAGACUGAACUAAAUACAAAGGAGCAUCAGGCUGCAACAAUUAUUCAAUCAGCCUUUCGAGCAUUCUUGGCUAGGCGAGCUUUACGGGCAUUAAAAGGAUUAGUUAGACUCCAGGCUCUCGUUAGGGGCCAUGCUGUACGAAAGCAAGCAGCAGAAACACUUCAGUGUAUGCAAUCACUAGUAAAGGCUCAAGCUCGUGUCAGAGCAAGACAGGUUCGUAUUGGUUUGGAAGGUCAGGUACCCCAGAAGAAGGCUCCUGAACAAAAUGCUCAGGAGGAUCAAGCUCGAGAAAUUGAGGAACGCUGGUGUGGCGGUAUUGGCUCGGCGGAAGAAAUGCAAGCUAAAGUACUGAAAAAGCAAGAAGCUGCCGCUAAGCGGGAAAGAGCAAUGGCAUAUGCUUUAACGCACCAGCGGCAAGCAGGUUCGAGGAAACAGAAAGCUGCAGAUGUCCAAGGGCCAGAGGCGGAUGAGAACCAGUGGGGGCGGAACUGGGUGGAGAGGUGGGUGGCUGUACGCCCGUGGGAGAACAGGUUACUGGACAGUAAUGCCAAAGAGAAUGUACCAAUUGGUGAUGAUAAGGAGGCUGAGGAAAAUGGGGACAGGGAUGUAAACAAGCCAAAAGGAAAAGUUGCAGUUUCGGGCAUUCAGUUAAAUGGUUCAAGCCAGACGAAAGAUGCAAAACACAAGAAGUCACAUUCUGAUGCAAGUGGUUCUUCAUCAGGGCAAUCUGCGGCUGCGCCACCCGCCGCUUCUUUGGGAUCAUCUAAGCUGAAACCGAAGCCAUCGGAUCAAACCUCCGAGGAAGUCAGCCCUCAACCUACAGAUCCGGCUCCACGGUCCACAAGUAAUCCGAAGGAAAGGCCAGCAGCACAAGUCAAUGCACCAACCAAGAAGCGGCUAUCCCUUCCUAACAACGCAGCUGCCGGUGGCGCGGCAAGAAAAGGCCAGGCGAACAGCAGCGAGAAAGCUCAGCCCGUCGGUUCCAAGAACAAGGCGAAAGGAGCAUCCAAGUCUGAAUCGAAGCAGCGACCGAGCCCUGGUAGCACAAGCGCGAAGCGGGUUUAG
Molecule: ribosomal RNA, 1293 nt
Filed under: Triticum aestivum (bread wheat)
Lineage: Eukaryota; Viridiplantae; Streptophyta; Magnoliopsida; Poales; Poaceae
Description: partial small subunit ribosomal RNA
Source: RNAcentral